UACGUAGGUGGCAAGCGUUGUCCGGAUUUAUUGGGCUUAAAGGGUGCGUAGGCGGCUUUGUAAGUCAGUGGUGAAAUAUGGCAGCUCAACUGUCAGGGUGCCAUUGAUACUGCGGAGCUUGAGUACAGAUGAGGUAGGCGGAAUUGACGGUGUAGCGGUGAAAUGCUUAGAUAUCGUCAAGAACACCGAUAGCGAAGGCAGCUUACUGGGCUGUAACUGACGCUGAGGCACGAAAGUGUGGGGAUCAAACAGG
RNAcentral lists this ribosomal RNA (253 nucleotides) under uncultured bacterium. RNAcentral describes it as "partial 16S ribosomal RNA". It matches the Rfam family "Bacterial small subunit ribosomal RNA", at positions 524 to 776 of the family's 1533-position model. The record is from RNAcentral.